Molecule: ribosomal RNA, 464 nt
Filed under: uncultured bacterium
Lineage: Bacteria
Description: partial 16S ribosomal RNA
Rfam family: Bacterial small subunit ribosomal RNA
Source: RNAcentral
CUACGGGACGCUGCAGUGGGGAAUUUUGGACAAUGGGGGCAACCCUGAUCCAGCCAUGCCGCGUGAGUGAAGAAGGCCUUCGGGUUGUAAAGCUCUUUCAGCCGGGAAGAAAUCGCAUGGGUUAAUACCCUGUGCGGAUGACGGUACCGGAAUAAGAAGCACCGGCUAACUACGUGCCAGCAGCCGCGGUAAUACGUAGGGUGCGAGCGUUAAUCGGAAUGACUGGGCGUAAAGCGUGCGCAGGCGGAUGCUUAAGUCAGAUGUGAAAUCCCCGGGCUUAACCUGGGAAUUGCAUUUGAAACUGGGUGUCUAGAGUGCGUCAGAGGGGGGUGGAAUUCCACGUGUAGCAGUGAAAUGCGUAGAUAUGUGGAGGAACACCAAUGGCGAAGGCAGCCCCCUGGGAUGACACUGACGCUCAUGCACGAAAGCGUGGGGAGCAAACAGGAUUAGAUACCCGGGUAGUC